AGAGUUUGAUCAUGGCUCAGAUUGAACGCUGGCGGCAGGCUUAACACAUGCAAGUCGAGCGGAAACGAUGAUAGCUUGCUAUCAGGCGUCGAGCGGCGGACGGGUGAGUAAUACUUAGGAAUCUGCCCAGUAGUGGGGGAUAGCUCGGGGAAACUCGAAUUAAUACCGCAUACACCCUACGGGGAAAAGGGGGCGCUUGCGCUCUCGCUAUUGGAUGAGCCUAAGUCGGAUUAGCUAGUUGGUGGGGUAAAGGCCUACCAAGGCGACGAUCUGUAGCUGGUCUGAGAGGAUGAUCAGCCACACCGGGACUGAGACACGGCCCGGACUCCUACGGGAGGCAGCAGUGGGGAAUAUUGGACAAUGGGGGCAACCCUGAUCCAGCCAUGCCGCGUGUGUGAAGAAGGCCUUUUGGUUGUAAAGCACUUUAAGCAGUGAAGAAGACCUUAUGGUUAAUACCCAUAAGCGAUGACAUUAGCUGCAGAAUAAGCACCGGCUAACUCUGUGCCAGCAGCCGCGGUAAUACAGAGGGUGCAAGCGUUAAUCGGAAUUACUGGGCGUAAAGCGAGCGUAGGUGGUUUAAUAAGUCAGAUGUGAAAUCCCCGGGCUUAACCUGGGAACUGCAUCUGAUACUGUUAGGCUAGAGUAGGUGAGAGGGAGGUAGAAUUUCAGGUGUAGCGGUGAAAUGCGUAGAGAUCUGAAGGGAAUACCGAUGGCGAAGGCAGCCUCCUG
This 729-nucleotide ribosomal RNA is filed under the name uncultured bacterium. Its description in RNAcentral is "bacterial SSU rRNA". It matches the Rfam family "Bacterial small subunit ribosomal RNA", at positions 8 to 731 of the family's 1533-position model. The record is from RNAcentral.